GGCUGGUCUGGAGGUAGUGAGUUAUCUCAAUUGAUUGUUCAGUCAAUUAUAGAUUGAACUGCUUGUUCUACUGCUUCCCCCUUCUCACUGUUACACUUGCUGGUCUUAA
RNAcentral lists this Y RNA (109 nucleotides) under Prolemur simus (greater bamboo lemur). RNAcentral's name for it is "Y RNA (ENSPSMG00000022493.1)". It matches the Rfam family "Y RNA". Rfam says of the family: Y RNAs are components of the Ro ribonucleoprotein particle (Ro RNP), in association with Ro60 and La proteins. Lineage: Eukaryota; Metazoa; Chordata; Mammalia; Primates; Lemuridae. The record is from Rfam by way of RNAcentral.